This is a long non-coding RNA of Triticum aestivum (bread wheat), 4736 nucleotides long. RefSeq lists it as uncharacterized. The record is from RefSeq and is a predicted model, not a curated record. The transcript is spliced from 5 exons. Lineage: Eukaryota; Viridiplantae; Streptophyta; Magnoliopsida; Poales; Poaceae.
GGGCCGAAGGGGAAAAGUAAAAAACACGUCGACGAUCCUUGCUCUCCUCGCAAUCAAGCCUCCCCUCGUCUCCUCUCUUACUCUUACGACCUCUCUCCCCUCGCGACUCCUCGCCGCCGCCGCCACCGCCACCGCCACGACCCAUGCCGGCUGAUUCCGGCGAGUCCCGACGGCGGCUGACACACCAACGGCCUCCCCUGGCCCACUCCUUCCUCCCAUCCGUCCAGAUCCGUCCUCUUCUCCUCGUCUCUCUCCUCCGCGUCUUCCUCCGGGGAGCCUUGCGGCUGCAGCAGGAGGGGAGACAAGGGAGCCGGGCCAGCCGAUUUCCUCGCCGGAUCUGGAGCGCAGGGGCGACGCCAGCGAGUAACCGACCAGGGAGGAGCAUUGGUCGCCGGUGAAGAAAACAUGGGAGGGAGACGAGAGGAGCACUGAUCGGGGGGAGUCACCAGGGCGUCGAUGCCAAGCUGAUCUUAUUCUGGUGAGAGUUUGAUGACAGGGAGAAUUAUUAUUAUUGUUGUUGUUCAAGGUAACUGCGAUGCACAUGAUGCAAGCAUUGUAUUGGUGCAGAGGAGGAGCAAUACUCAGAGUGCGGGAGUUAAGAGAGUAUCUGCUGAAACUAAGGUCACAACAGAUCAGAUCUGAUAAAGAAGAGGAGGAUUUUGAGGAAGAACUUUGUGAAAAUGCAGUCACUUUUUUGCAUUUUGACGUGUUCUGCCAAUUUCUAUAUAUUGCUUAUAUGGUUGCACCCAAGUCUUGGUUAUAUGACUUACAAUGCCCAUGUAAGUAUAUAUUAGAUAUCAGAAUUUGUUAUGUUCAAGCAUUAGAAAGCUGUAAAAUUAUAACAUUUAGCACUAGAGCUCGAGGAAUUCAGCAUCACUGGAUUAAGAGAAAACUCCAAGCCUUUGUUUGAGCAAUACAAAUAAAGUAUUAUGGAAUAUACUAUAAAAUCUAAAAUCAUAAGGAGCGUAGAAUAGUUUACCUGGAGAUUCAGGUGUCUAUAGACGGGUGUGAGGUGCAACCUAUCAUCUCAUAAAUAAAAUAUAUGAACUUGAGGAAAUAUACUUGUGCCGGAUUGUUUGAGAUGUGCAUCAGUUAAGCCCAUGUUGUUGUGAAUUUUGCUGGUCUAUCUAUUGAUGAGGGUGGGAAAUUAUCACUGGUCUACUCCGCUUUCAUGUUAUAUCACUUUUUCUUUAUGCUUGCGAGGGCGUAAUUCAUGUUUUGUGUGCCAACAGUGGCCAUUAUUUUGUCUGACCGUUGAAAAAUUGAGAACGAGAUAACAGUUGAAAGUGGCGUUCGCGUAGGAAAUCACCUGCUUCAUUGACUGUAGGCAGAAGGUACAUUUGGUAUAUAUUCGGUACUCUUCUCCUACUUAUACCAGUUCAGCUUUUGAAGUUCUGUGUUUAGGAUUCAUGUAAUAAAUUAGAUGAUCACACCCACCAAUACACAUGACCAGCCGUCGCUCCUCACGAACACUCCGGAAUGACGUCUUAGCACGUCGUCAGUGGAGGAGAUGACCAGAGUCCUGCACUCAGCGGCUGGAACAGAGGGGCGGAGCAUCUUCUGACAUCCUCAUCUGACCUUAGUUCCGAGAUACUUAGUUUCUUAGUUACAUCCACUCCUAGAUAGCUAUAGAUAGCUAAACAGAUAGGAUUCAAAUGCUUUUGCCUACAAUCCAUGGCUAGCUAGAUAUGGAUGUACGGGUUCAUCUUGAAAUGAAAUAAUCAUUUAUGUAUGUUUGCUUUUGGCCCAUUCAUUUUGUGUUAAUCUUAUCUUGCUUUCUUGUUUUUCGGGGAAUUUAACUUGCCUAGCUACAAACUAUUUAAUUAUGCAUGUGGUCGGCUCGGCCUCCUGCUCCUCUGGCUGGCUUCCACGGCCGCCUACUCUGGUGAGUUCUUGGUCUCCUUUUCCUUUUCUAUUCCCCUACCUAGCCUUCGAGCUAUGGUUGUUGCAUGUCGGUCAUCGAGCCGUGCUAAAUAAUACUAUCAGAUCAUUCUCUGUAUGGCAAUUGGAUGAGAUUAGAUGUUAGGCAAGCACUGCCUUUUUAUGCAUGUAGCAGAUGUAAUUCAAAUUGGCAUGUGUAUGCUGCGUAUUUGCAUGGUUACGAGUUAAGUGUGAAAUUAUCUUUGUACAACCAUAAUUGAUGGCUCAAGAAGAUAAAGAGAUUUGCUUAUCUCUAUUGCACUGUCAUGAUAGUGUCACAUUAACCCAUGCUGAACAACUCAUGCUUCUGUUCUGUGUGAAUUAUUUCUAUUUGAUUAUUUGAUGAGAUCGUACUCAUUUGCUGCUAGAAGUAUUUGUAUUUGAUUUUUUAUGACAACUAUUUCGAUAAGGUUGGAGCAUUGGGGAAAUUUCAUGCUUUGCAUAGGGGUUAGAAUAGUUGGUCAGAGAGCUAUGAACUUUAUGGCAUUAGUGUUUUCCUUUUACUGUAAAUCUGCAAAAGAGGGAACAUAUACAAAUAUACCUAUUUCAUAUAGAAGAAAUUAGUUCUGUUCCCGCAAGUUCUUCCAUUUUGUAACAGGUUUUUAUUUUAAAUCAAAGCUCCGUCAAGCAAAAUAUAUUACUAAUGUGUCAAACGUCUUGCUUAGUAAUAAGUGUUUGUUCAAUAGAAUGGCCCUUGUGACCAGAACUGAAAUCGUUUAUCUGGGAUGAACUAUAUAUAUAUAUAUAUAUAUGGAUCAAUUGGUAAUGAAACAAUUUGCAGCCUCAUAUAGGCUCUAUUUCAGAUAGCAUAAGUGUGCCAUGCUUUGGAUUCAAACUUCUUUUUCGCAGGAUGUGUUGCCAACAAUGUAAGUGAUCAUGAGACUCACUUCUCCCACAGCCUUCUCUUGUCGACAAGGCUCGAUGCUCCUGCUUCUUGUGACCCCAAAGUCAAGGCGCGACUCUGCUACAACCCUAAGACUCCUCUAGAUGGGUUUUCCCCCUGAUUUUUUUCACAUCCUCUGGAUGAACUUUCUUUACUGGAAUUUUUACUGUUUUGUCAACUGAUGUUUUGGAGUCUAAGCAGUUUAUGUUUUUUACAGAUUGAUAUGUACCCCCUAUACUGACAAAGUGGGUCUUUCAAUGGAUGGGUCGAGUCAAAUGUAUGCAUAUAUAAAUAUACCACACCUGAGUUCAGUUGUGUUUUCUCAGAUUUAUGUACGAAUGACACCUGUUUUCAUAACUUCUUUACAAUCAAGGUCAUAGGAUGCGAUUGAACAUGCAACAACAUACCUCAUUCAGCUAUGAUGUUAGCCUUUUGCUUUAGUUAUCAGGCAAAAUUUCUUGCGUUUUGUACCUUCAUGUGCUCUCGUUCAAACGUCAAUGAUGGUUGGGAAAUUUCUGUUAAAUGUGGUUAACAAUAAGGAUAAAGUCGACUAUAGUUAGUUUGCUUUUCUAUUGCUGGGUAAUCUUCUUAUUCCAUCAUUUUAUAGGUAUUUUUAUGUUGAAGGUAUCUUCUCCAGAGCCGAUGGUAUUUCUUUCACAAUACUGAUCUGAUUCUUGUCUGCUCUAGGUGUCACUGUCAUGGCUUGCUUGACAUUACUCGGAUAUAUGUCAGGCAGUGGUAACUGGUAACCUUCUUUUGAUGGUUGUCGAAACACAUCUUCGGUCACACAUACACCAUCCGAGGUAUUAAAUAACCUAUCAUCUCAUUUUUAUCGUCGUGUAUUUGAGGGAGAUGAUACGGCUGCUCUUUGCGUCCAAUGUACGUGCUCGUCUCUGGCUUAAACGGGCUUGGGGCUGAGACCGGUGCGUGCCUCCUUCACUAUGUGUGAUUUAAUCAUGCAGUGCUUUAUUUAGUACAUUGAUAUUCUAAUGUACCCGUCGUUCUGUUUUUCUGCUCUUAAAUAAUUGUUGGUAAUUUGGAAUAUGUGAUUACUUGCUUAGUUGCUGAAUUGAGAAACAUAUGCGAUUACUUCAAUUUAUCCCAUAUAUGUGCAGACAGGGCUGAGUUGCUAGAUAGAAAUAAAUUUGGUAAUAGUUAUCUGAUGUCUAAUUUAUUCAAACAGAGUGAUAGCCUUAAACUGCUGACAUAUGCUGCAUGAUCAUCAGGUUGUUUGCUGCAUUCUGAGUUAGUGUCACAUAGAGAAAUGCAAAUCAUAUAUGACCCUUUUCUGCUUGUUAUGCAGAUUUACUUGUAUUUUUUGUGCUCAGAAUUCCCAAGGCUUGUCUUUAUUCUAAUAGACAAGGCUGAUUACUUCAAUGCACUAUGUGUUGUUGAUUGUUUUGUGAUCCUACUUCAUGUUUACAUUGGUAGGGUUUGUAAUUGCCACUAGAAAUAGGCGAGAAAAUGGUACUACAGGUAGUUGAUUGCACUUUACUGAUUUUGCAAACCGUGAUAACCGCUGAACUGCUUGUUGCUUUGGUGAAUCUAUUUAAUGUAGUGCUCUAUGGAGAUGGAGAACAUAUGUCAAGAUGUUUAUGGCAUAGUGGUUGCGCCACAAAAGUGUUUCCUUGCUAUGAAUCAAAUUUGCAAUCCAGUGCUUUUGUCUCUAUUGCUAAAUAAGGACCUUCGCGAUUGGCUGAUGAGGGGAUGCCCAAGAGGUCCGUGGUAGGGGUGGAGCAGCAAGGCCGGAGACCCAGGCGGCGGACGCCUCACGGGUAGAAGAGUGGUUGACGAUGUGGACAAGGAGCAAUAGUGUCAUGGAUACCCUUUAAACUUUCCGUCGUUGUGUUUAGCACUUCAUGUCCUAAUUGAAUGUUGAAUUCUUGCCACUAUAGAAACUUGCAGCAUAUGUUGAUUAAUUAUUUCAUGAGUA